ACGGGGACCCGCACAAGCGGUGGAUGAUGUGGUUUAAUUCGAUGCAACGCGAAAAACCUUACCACCUUUGACAUGGCAGGAAUCCUAAAGAGAUUUGGGAGUGCUCGAAAGAGAACCUGCACACAGGUGCUGCAUGGCUGUCGUCAGCUCGUGUCGUGAGAUGUUGGGUUAAGUCCCGCAACGAGCGCAACCCUUGCCAUUAGUUGCUACGAAAGGGCACUCUAAUGGGACUGCCGGUGACAAACCGGAGGAAGGUGGGGAUGACGUCAAGUCCUCAUGGCCCUUAUAGGUGGGGCUACACACGUCAUACAAUGGCCGGUACAGAGGGUAGCCAACCCGCGAGGGGGAGCCAAUCCCACAAAGCCGGUCGUAGUCCGGAUCGCAGUCUGCAACUCGACUGCGUGAAGUCGGAAUCGCUAGUAAUCGCGGAUCAGCAUGUCGCGGUGAAUACGUUCCCGGGUCUU
This 464-nucleotide ribosomal RNA is filed under the name uncultured Allobrachymonas sp. RNAcentral describes it as "bacterial SSU rRNA". It matches the Rfam family "Bacterial small subunit ribosomal RNA", at positions 913 to 1382 of the family's 1533-position model. The record is from RNAcentral. Lineage: Bacteria; Pseudomonadati; Pseudomonadota; Betaproteobacteria; Burkholderiales; Comamonadaceae.